This 464-nucleotide ribosomal RNA is filed under the name uncultured bacterium. RNAcentral describes it as "partial 16S ribosomal RNA". It matches the Rfam family "Bacterial small subunit ribosomal RNA", at positions 339 to 795 of the family's 1533-position model. The record is from RNAcentral.
CUACGGGCGGCUGCAGUGGGGAAUAUUGCACAAUGGGCGCAAGCCUGAUGCAGCCAUGCCGCGUGUAUGAAGAAGGCCUUCGGGUUGUAAAGUACUUUCAGCGGGGAGGAAGGGAGUAAAGUUAAUACCUUUGCUCAUUGACGUUACCCGCAGAAGAAGCACCGGCUAACUCCGUGCCAGCAGCCGCGGUAAUACGGAGGGUGCAGGCGUUAAUCGGAAUUACUGGGCGUAAAGCGCAUGCAGGCGGUUUGUUAAGUCAGAUGUGAAAUCCCCGGGCUCAACCUGGGAACUGCAUCUGAUACUGGCAAGCUUGAGUCUCGUAGAGGGGGGUAGAAUUCCAGGUGUAGCGGUGAAAUGCGUAGAGAUCUGGAGGAAUACCGGUGGCGAAGGCGGCCCCCUGGACGAAGACUGACGCUCAGGUGCGAAAGCGUGGGGAGCAAACAGGAUUAGAUACCCCAGUAGUC